This 451-nucleotide ribosomal RNA is filed under the name uncultured bacterium. RNAcentral's name for it is "bacterial SSU rRNA". It matches the Rfam family "Bacterial small subunit ribosomal RNA", at positions 354 to 796 of the family's 1533-position model. The record is from RNAcentral.
GUGGGGAAUAUUGGACAAUGGGCGCAAGCCUGAUCCAGCCAUGCCGCGUGUGUGAAGAAGGCCUUUUGGUUGUAAAGCACUUUAAGCGAGGAGGAGGCUCCUUUAGUUAAUACCUAAAGAGAGUGGACGUUACUCGCAGAAUAAGCACCGGCUAACUCUGUGCCAGCAGCCGCGGUAAUACAGAGGGUGCGAGCGUUAAUCGGAUUUACUGGGCGUAAAGCGUGAGUAGGCGGCUUUUUAAGUCGGAUGUGAAAUCCCUGAGCUUAACUUAGGAAUUGCAUUCGAUACUGGAAAGCUAGAGUAUGGGAGAGGAUGGUAGAAUUCCAGGUGUAGCGGUGAAAUGCGUAGAGAUCUGGAGGAAUACCGAUGGCGAAGGCAGCCAUCUGGCCUAAUACUGACGCUGAGGUACGAAAGCGUGGGGAGCAAACAGGAUUAGAAACCCUGGUAGUCC